CAGUAGCCGCGGUAAUACAGAGGAUUUAAGCGUUAUCCGGAAUGAUUGGGCGUAAAGCGUCUGUAGGUGGCUUUUCAAGUCCGUCGUCAAAUCCCAGGGCUCAACCCUGGACAGGCGGUGGAAACUACCAAGCUGGAGUACGGUAGGGGCAGAGGGAAUUUCCAGUGGAGCGGUGAAAUGCGUUGAGAUCGAAAAGAACACCAACAGCGAAAGCACUCUGCUGGGACGACACUGACACUAAGAGACGAAAGCUAGGGGAGCAAAUGGGAUUAGAUACCCCAGUAGUCCCUGUCUCUUAUAC
Molecule: ribosomal RNA, 301 nt
Filed under: uncultured bacterium
Lineage: Bacteria
Description: partial 16S ribosomal RNA
Rfam family: Bacterial small subunit ribosomal RNA
Source: RNAcentral